RNAcentral lists this ribosomal RNA (373 nucleotides) under uncultured bacterium. RNAcentral describes it as "bacterial SSU rRNA". It matches the Rfam family "Bacterial small subunit ribosomal RNA", at positions 28 to 400 of the family's 1533-position model. The record is from RNAcentral.
GACGAACGCUGGCGGCGUGCUUAACACAUGCAAGUCGAGCGACUGCAUUCUUUUCGGAGGGUGUAUGGAGCGGCGAACGGGUGAGUAACACGUGAGUAAUCUGCCUUUGGCUUGGGAAUAACUUCGGGAAAUCGGGGCUAAUGCCUGAUGUUUACUGUCUGCUGCAUGGUGGGUGGUGGAAAGAUUUUUUGGCCAGGGAUGAGCUCGCGGUCUAUCAGUCUGUUGGUGGGGUAAUGGCUUACCAAGGCUUUGACGGGUAGCCGGCCUGAGAGGGUGUUCGGCCACACUGGGACUGAGACACGGCCCAGACUCCUACGGGAGCAGCAGUGGGGAAUAUUGCGCAAUGGGCGUAAGCCUGACGCAGCGACGCCGC